RNAcentral lists this long non-coding RNA (408 nucleotides) under Gallus gallus (chicken). RNAcentral describes it as "lncRNA (ENSGALG00010023843.1)". The record is from RNAcentral. Lineage: Eukaryota; Metazoa; Chordata; Aves; Galliformes; Phasianidae.
GUGUUGGCUUUCUCUUCAGAGCUGAAGCACACUACUGGAGUUACUUGAAUAUAGGUUAGAGAGUCUGCAGUUCCCUUGUCAAGAGGAGGAAUGAGAAGUCUGCUUUAGGGAAAAGGAGGAGCAGUGCAUGGAAAUCACACAAGAUUUCACCAGCAUGUGUCACUGUGCAUCCGGGCACCACACUCACCACCAGAGCUGCGUAGUUUGUCCCUGCAGGGAAGAAAGGAAAGGCAGAGAGCAGAAUACAGGAGAUACUGAGAGCAAUUGCUGGGAGCAGCAGCUUGGGUUGUGUGAUGCAAGAGGAUGUUCAAAGAGGAAGGAGAAGCUCUCCCACCCACCAAGCUUUGUGUGCUUGCAAAAUGUGUAGAAGUGCCUGCAAACACACGGGAAAGUUUUACAUUUCUGCUC